RNAcentral lists this ribosomal RNA (253 nucleotides) under uncultured bacterium. Its description in RNAcentral is "partial 16S ribosomal RNA". It matches the Rfam family "Bacterial small subunit ribosomal RNA", at positions 524 to 776 of the family's 1533-position model. The record is from RNAcentral.
UACGUAGGGGCCGAGCGUUGUCCGGAGUUAUUGGGCGUAAAGCGCGCGCAGGCGGCCUCGCGCGCCCGACGUGAAAGCCCCCGGCUUAACCGGGGAGGGUCGUUGGGGACGGCGGGGCUUGAGGGCGGGAGAGGGUGGUGGAAUUCCCGGUGUAGUGGUGAAAUGCGCAGAUAUCAGGAGGAACACCAAUGGCGAAGGCAGAUCUCUGGGCCGUAACUGACGCUGAGGAGCGAAAGCAUGGGGAGCGAACAGG